CCGGCGACCGGCGCACGGGUGAGUAACACGUAUGCAACCUGGCCGUCACGAGGGGAUAACCGGUAGAAAUGCCGCCUAAUACCCCAUGACACCCUUUAGGGACAUCCCUGGGGGGUCAAAGGGAGCGAUCCCGGUGGUGGAUGGGCAUGCGGCGCAUUAGCUAGUCGGCGGGGUAACGGCCCACCGAGGCGACGAUGCGUAGGGGUUCUGAGAGGAAGGUCCCCCACAUUGGAACUGAGACACGGUCCAAACUCCUACGGAAGGCAGCAG
Molecule: ribosomal RNA, 270 nt
Filed under: uncultured bacterium
Lineage: Bacteria
Description: partial 16S ribosomal RNA
Rfam family: Bacterial small subunit ribosomal RNA
Source: RNAcentral